Molecule: long non-coding RNA, 212 nt
Filed under: Mytilus galloprovincialis (Mediterranean mussel)
Lineage: Eukaryota; Metazoa; Mollusca; Bivalvia; Mytilida; Mytilidae
Source: RNAcentral
GUUGCUCGGUCUUUAGUUUUCUAUGUAAUGUUUUGAAUAUAAAAAGAAGAUGUGGUAUGAUUGCCAAUGAGACAAUUCUACAAAAUAGACCAAAUGACACAGAAAAUAACAACCAUAGGUCACUGUACAGCCUUCAACAAUGAUCAAAGCCCAUAUGGCAUAGUCAGCUAUAAAAGGCCCUGAAAUGACUAAUGCAUGUAGUAGACUGUUGA